AUGAACGUUGGCGGCGUGGAUUAGGCAUGCAAGUCGAGCGUGUACCCCGCAAGGGGGAAAGCGGCGUAAGGGAGAGUAACGCGUGGAUUAUCUGCCCUCGGGUCCGGGAUAGCCGCGGGAAACUGCGGGUAAUACCGGAUGAUGUCUUCGGAUCAAAGGUGUGAUUCCGCCCGAGGAUGAGUCCGCGUCCUAUUAGCUAGUUGGUAAGGUAACGGCUUACCAAGGCCAUGAUGGGUACUGGGUGUGAGAGCACGACCCAGCUCACUGGGACUGAGACACUGCCCAGACACCUACGGGUGGCUGCAGUCGAGGAUCUUCGGCAAUGGGCGCAAGCCUGACCGAGCGACGCCGCGUGUGGGAUGAAGGCCUUCGGGUUGUAAACCACUGUCAGAGGGGAGGAAAUCAGCGGGGGUUCUCCCCCGUUGUUGACCUAUCUUCAGAGGAAGUACGGGCUAAGUUCGU
RNAcentral lists this ribosomal RNA (462 nucleotides) under uncultured bacterium. Its description in RNAcentral is "bacterial SSU rRNA". It matches the Rfam family "Bacterial small subunit ribosomal RNA", at positions 29 to 506 of the family's 1533-position model. The record is from RNAcentral.